Molecule: ribosomal RNA, 292 nt
Filed under: uncultured bacterium
Lineage: Bacteria
Description: partial 16S ribosomal RNA
Rfam family: Bacterial small subunit ribosomal RNA
Source: RNAcentral
GUGUCAGCCGCCGCGGUAAUACAGAGGGGGCAAGCGUUAUUCGGAAUUAUUGGGCGUAAAGGGCGCGUAGGCGGCUUUGCAAGUGGCGGGUGAAAUCCCUCGGCUUAACCGAGGAACUGCCUGCCAGACUGCGAGGCUUGAGACCGGGAGAGGUGAGUGGAAUUCCCAGUGUAGCGGUGAAAUGCGUAGAUAUUGGGAGGAACACCAGUGGCGAAGGCGGCUCACUGGACCGGAACUGACGCUGAGGCGCGAAAGCGUGGGGAGCAAACAGGAUUAGAAACCCCCGUAGUCC